ACCUCAGUGGUAAAGGACUUGUUUCACAUACAGGAGGUCCUGGGUUUAAUCCCCAG
This 56-nucleotide transfer RNA is filed under the name Cavia porcellus (domestic guinea pig). It matches the Rfam family "tRNA", at positions 9 to 63 of the family's 71-position model. From Rfam's summary of the family: Transfer RNA (tRNA) molecules are approximately 80 nucleotides in length. Their secondary structure includes four short double-helical elements and three loops (D, anti-codon, and T loops). The record is from Rfam by way of RNAcentral. Lineage: Eukaryota; Metazoa; Chordata; Mammalia; Rodentia; Caviidae.